AUUGAACGCUGGCGGCAGGCCUAACACAUGCAAGUCAAACGGUAACAGGAAGCAGCUUGCUGCUUUGCUGACGAGUGGCGGACGGGUGAGUAAUGUCUGGGAAACUGCCUGAUGGAGGGGGAUAACUACUGGAAACGGUAGCUAAUACCGCAUAACGUCGCAAGACCAAAGAGGGGGACCUUAGGGCCUCUUGCCAUCGGAUGUGCCCAGAUGGGAUUAGCUAGUAGGUGGGGUAACGGCUCACCUAGGCGACGAUCCCUAGCUGGUCUGAGAGGAUGACCAGCCACACUGGAACUGAGACACGGUCCAGACUCCUACGGGAGGCAGCAGUGGGGAAUAUUGCACAAUGGGCGCAAGCCUGAUGCAGCCAUGCCGCGUGUAUGAAGAAGGCCUUCGGGUUGUAAAGUACUUUCAGCGGGGAGGAAGGGAGUAAAGUUAAUACCUUUGCUCAUUGACGUUACCCGCAGAAGAAGCACCGGCUAACUCCGUG
RNAcentral lists this ribosomal RNA (490 nucleotides) under uncultured bacterium. Its description in RNAcentral is "partial 16S ribosomal RNA". It matches the Rfam family "Bacterial small subunit ribosomal RNA", at positions 30 to 507 of the family's 1533-position model. The record is from RNAcentral.